ACUCCAUGAAGCUGGAUUCGCUAGUAAUCGCGCAUCAGCCACGGCGCGGUGAAUACGUUCCCGGGCCUUGUACACACCGCCCGUCAAGCCAUGGAAGCCGGGAGUGCCUGAAGUGCGUGAGCGCAGGCAGCGCCCUAAGGUAAAACCGGUGACUGGGGCUAAGUCGUAACAAGGUAGC
RNAcentral lists this ribosomal RNA (178 nucleotides) under uncultured bacterium. RNAcentral's name for it is "partial 16S ribosomal RNA". It matches the Rfam family "Bacterial small subunit ribosomal RNA", at positions 1315 to 1500 of the family's 1533-position model. The record is from RNAcentral.